RNAcentral lists this long non-coding RNA (1279 nucleotides) under Sander lucioperca (pikeperch). Its description in RNAcentral is "lncRNA (ENSSLUG00000021992.1)". Lineage: Eukaryota; Metazoa; Chordata; Actinopteri; Perciformes; Percidae. The record is from RNAcentral.
CUCCUGCGCCUGCACUCGGCACUUGGCGGAGAGACGCGCAGGCCAGACAGUGGUGUGCUGCUACCGCUGCUGCUGGUACCGUGAGGCUCAGUUCACCACAGUCCUUCUCCAGUCACGGUAAAACAGUCAGAGAUUCCUUCAGUGCUCGGCCGGGGAUGCGCAUCUGAACCCGAGUGUCCCGGGGACAAUUACGCAUCGAGGCGCUGCGCUCUCCCUGUCUCUGUCUCCCAGCCCCCACAGACGAAAUAAUCGCACCGGUUGAGGACAGUUUGGCUGUUUGUUUUUGACAGAAUGGCAGGCGCAGAUUGCCUUCUGAAAACGCCGAGUAACUUCCAGUCGUCUGCCAUGUUUGAAGGCUCAGAGGCCAUCAAGGUGGAGGGAGGCAGCACGGAGAGCACCGUGGCCUUGUCCAUCAGCGCCUGCAAGAAGGUGCUGUGCAGUAACAGUAUGCUGGACUCGUCGGAGUACUGGCUGAGGAAUGAGAAAGCUCUGUGUAGACUCGGCCUGCUGGACGACGACACGGAGGGCAGCUGCACCAUGGUGAGUAGCAUACUGUGGAUGAUGAAACAUUCGCACCCUUUUGGCCACAAAGAUGGAGCAAGUCAUCUCUAGUGUAGCGUCUCAAAGCUGUAGCAGGAGUCAUGUUUGUUUGUAACCUCAAAUGACAGCGAGGUGACGGUUUGAAUUUGAAGACAGAAAUGAUGUGACAUCUAAAAACUACUUUCUUCAAUAUGCUUUCUGUGAGUGGCUUCUGGGCAUGGAGAUGUUUGGUGAAAAGGUUUUUGCAGCAGGUCGUUGGUUCUACCUUGCUGCUGUUUAGUAGACAGUUCUUUUUCUUAAGGUUUAGUAAGUCACUUUACAUAUGUUGACAAAACGUGUUGAGAAAAUGGACAUGAUAUAGGCUAAUAAAACCAAGUUGUGAAACUGUAAGAUAUUGCUCAUCUUCACCUUUUCCUUUCGAAAUAAUUUUGAAAAUUUAACAAUUGAAUGAUAAUUUCACUCUGUUAACAUGCAAUAUUCUUGUUCUAAACUGACAAUACUUUAGUAGAAACAGACGACCCAACCAGCAAUGCAGAAGUCAGAAACUAGCAUUUUGAGACAAAUAACUGAAGAUUUGUUGAAAUUUGUGAUUGACCAGUAUUUGCUCUAAAAGAAGUAAAGCCCUUUUUUAACUGUACUUCUUAUGCAUCAGCAGAUUUUGCAAGAAGUUACUGGGAGAGCUGGAGUUGAUGAUAUUUAUAAAUGUAUCUGAACACCUACGAUAGACUUUAAACCUUCA